GGAAGGGCGAGGGGGCGGCGGCGGCGGCUGACGACGGCGGCGGGCGCACGGCAGGCGGGCCGGUGGCGGCGGUGAUGCGCUCGCAGCGGGGGCACAUGGUGAGCGCGGACGCCGGGAGCGGCUGCCUGGUGUGCGGCGAGAGCACCCUAGGAGAUUGGUUGUCUCCCGAGCUUACCUGAACCAGAGGAGCUGAGGCCGGGGACAGCCAUGGUGAGCUCCAGGCCUGACGGAGAAGUGGCCCCCAUCAUCACAAGCCAAUGCAGAAGCGGCUCAGCAAGAGAAAAGGGCAGGGAAGGCGGGGCAAAGGCGGAGGGAGACAAAGACAGGUUGAAAAGGAGUAGAAGCCUGGGGAGGCGUUAUAUAAGGGGCGUUUCCAGGGCGAGGCUGCCAGGGUAGAGGCAUGGACACGUUAGAACUUUUAACAGUGGCACCUGCUAUUGUAUAUUGUAUAUUGUGUGUGGAAAUAAUAUUGCUGCUGCUGCUACUAGUAGCAGGGCGUGUACUUUAAAUUAUUAGGCUCAUACUGUUUGGGACAUGAUGUGGUUUUUUUGUUCUUUGACUGGGAUUACAACUUGUUGGAAUGGUGGAUCCUUG
RNAcentral lists this small RNA (594 nucleotides) under Oryza sativa Japonica Group (Japanese rice). RNAcentral's name for it is "sRNA Os01g0643666". Lineage: Eukaryota; Viridiplantae; Streptophyta; Magnoliopsida; Poales; Poaceae. The record is from RNAcentral.